This 301-nucleotide ribosomal RNA is filed under the name uncultured bacterium. RNAcentral describes it as "partial 16S ribosomal RNA". It matches the Rfam family "Bacterial small subunit ribosomal RNA", at positions 509 to 807 of the family's 1533-position model. The record is from RNAcentral.
CAGUAGCCGCGGGAAUACGAAGGGGGCUAGCGUUGUUCGGAAUUACUGGGCGUAAAGCGCACGUAGGCGGAUAUUUAAGUCAGGGGUGAAAUCCCGCAGCUCAACUGCGGAACUGCCUUUGAUACUGGGUAUCUUGAGUAUGGAAGAGGUUAGUGGAAUUGCGAGUGUAGAGGUGAAAUUCGUAGAUAUUCGCAGGAACACCAGUGGCGAAGGCGGCUAACUGGUCCAUAACUGACGCUGAGGUGCGAAAGCGUGGGGAGCAAACAGGAUUAGAUACCCACGUAGUCCCUGUCUCUUAUAC